UGGGGAAUAUUGGACAAUGGGCGCAAGCCUGAUGCAGCGACGCCGCGUGAGGGAUGACGGCCUUCGGGUUGUAAACCUCUUUCGGCAGGGACGAAGCGCAAGUGACGGUACCUGCAGAAGAAGCGCCGGCCAACUACGUGCCAGCAGCCGCGGUAAGACGUAGGGCGCAAGCGUUGUCCGGAUUUAUUGGGCGUAAAGAGCUCGUAGGCGGCUUGUUGCGUCGAUCGUGAAAACCUGCAGCUUAACUGUGGGCUUGCGGUCGAUACGGGCAGGCUGGAGUUCGGUAGGGGAGACUGGAAUUCCUGGUGUAGCGGUGAAAUGCGCAGAUAUCAGGAGGAACACCGGUGGCGAAGGCGGGUCUCUGGGCCGAUACUGACGCUGAGGAGCGAAAGCGUGGGGAGCGAA
RNAcentral lists this ribosomal RNA (405 nucleotides) under uncultured bacterium. RNAcentral describes it as "bacterial SSU rRNA". It matches the Rfam family "Bacterial small subunit ribosomal RNA", at positions 355 to 772 of the family's 1533-position model. The record is from RNAcentral.